This 879-nucleotide long non-coding RNA is filed under the name Salvia miltiorrhiza (redroot sage). Its description in RNAcentral is "long non-coding RNA (SMIL_LNC001143)". Lineage: Eukaryota; Viridiplantae; Streptophyta; Magnoliopsida; Lamiales; Lamiaceae. The record is from RNAcentral.
AAAUAUCACUUUUUGACCCAUCGUUUCAGCGUUUUCUCAAAAAUAUCCCACCCUAAGGAUAAUUACAAAACAAUACCUAUCAUUUCAUUUUUUUCUUGUUUAUGGCCCGUAAAAAUAAUCUGGCAACUGGUAAUUGACGUGUUCCGGCCAAUUGCCAUGUUGGAAGCACACGUGGAAAAAAAAAAGAAAAAAAAAAGAAAGAAAUUCCACAUAUUUAAAAACACAAAUUAAAACACAUAUGAAAACCACCGUCAUCUUUUUCUAUUGCCUCUCGCCUGUCACCUCCCUCUCUAUCUCUUUCCUUCCCUCUUCUUCCUUGCUCUGCCCCUCCUCCAUCUCCGGCGAGGGCCGCCAUCGGCAGCCACGCCGCGGUGCUUCCUGCUCCUCCUUCUACCCUGACUCAAAACACCAAGACCCCCAAAAUCUACAAAUUAAUCCCUAAUUUUUCUCCUCUCGCCCUCGCUGUGAACAGUCGCUACCCUCUCUUCUCAUGGCGAACGGCGAGAAUCGCCACCGCCUUCUCCUCUUCUCUCGGUCGGACAUCAACAGCCCCGUGGCAGCCGCUGCCACUCUCCACCACCUCAAUCCUCCCUCGCUCUCUCAUCGGAACGGGCGGCACGCCGACAGCUCCGUCACCGCCGUCCUUCUUCUCCUCUCUCAGUCCCGGAUGGACUCACACCUCAACAAGCACUCCUAACAAGAAUCAAGCGCAAACAAGAUCAAAGUUGUAAAGAUUGAAGUUUUAACAAAAUUUUAAGGUUUUGUUCUUCUCUGUGUUGCUUCAAUCCCUUCGCCAGAUUCUAGUUGUAAAGGUUAAAGCUUUAUCAAUUAAGUAAAUGUAUUUCCUUAGUUGAGCGAAUUGAGCAAAGAAUCAACGAG